GAUCUGCAUCAGAUGAGAUCAGCUGACUACGUGUGUGUGCUGUGCAAAAAAUGUUUUUGAACAUUAAUAAGUUGUCUUUGUGCACAUAUUGUUUACAGAUAUCAGACUGCAAAGAGCGCUACAGAGAGUCAACAUUUCACCAGUUGUCAGUGGGAACAGCAUGAUGUAAAUACAAGACGGGCCCUCGUCCUUCGUGCACUUCCUGUGUACCUGCGUGAAGAUGCCUCCACAUUAUUCAGGACUUGUGAUUCAGCAGAUGGUCCAGACCUCACUGACACUCCUGUGGCUCUGCUGUCAGUUGUCAC
Molecule: long non-coding RNA, 305 nt
Organism: Maylandia zebra (zebra mbuna)
Lineage: Eukaryota; Metazoa; Chordata; Actinopteri; Cichliformes; Cichlidae
Source: RefSeq, a predicted model, not a curated record